RNAcentral lists this ribosomal RNA (803 nucleotides) under Bacillus cereus. RNAcentral's name for it is "bacterial SSU rRNA". It matches the Rfam family "Bacterial small subunit ribosomal RNA", at positions 92 to 877 of the family's 1533-position model. Lineage: Bacteria; Bacillati; Bacillota; Bacilli; Caryophanales; Bacillaceae. The record is from RNAcentral.
UUAGCGGCGNGACGGGUGAGUAACACGUGGGUAACCUGCCCAUAAGACUGGGAUAACUCCGGGAAACCGGGGCUAAUACCGGAUAACAUUUUGAACCGCAUGGUUCGAAAUUGAAAGGCGGCUUCGGCUGUCACUUAUGGAUGGACCCGCGUCGCAUUAGCUAGUUGGUGAGGUAACGGCUCACCAAGGCAACGAUGCGUAGCCGACCUGAGAGGGUGAUCGGCCACACUGGGACUGAGACACGGGCCAGACUCCUACGGGAGGCAGCAGUAGGGAAUCUUCCGCAAUGGACGAAAGUCUGACGGAGCAACGCCGCGUGAGUGAUGAAGGCUUUCGGGUCGUAAAACUCUGUUGUUAGGGAAGAACAAGUGCUAGUUGAAUAAGCUGGCACCUUGACGGUACCUAACCAGAAAGCCACGGCUAACUACGUGCCAGCAGCCGCGGUAAUACGUAGGUGGCAAGCGUUAUCCGGAAUUAUUGGGCGUAAAGCGCGCGCAGGUGGUUUCUUAAGUCUGAUGUGAAAGCCCACGGCUCAACCGUGGAGGGUCAUUGGAAACUGGGAGACUUGAGUGCAGAAGAGGAAAGUGGAAUUCCAUGUGUAGCGGUGAAAUGCGUAGAGAUAUGGAGGAACACCAGUGGCGAAGGCGACUNUCUGGUCUGUAACUGACACUGAGGCGCGAAAGCGUGGGGAGCAAACAGGAUUAGAUACCCUGGUAGUCCACGCCGUAAACGAUGAGUGCUAAGUGUUAGAGGGUUUCCGCCUUUANGUGCUGAAGUUAACGCAUUAAGCACUUCCGCCUGGG